GUGUCGCAUGUCUAGUAUAAGCAUUAUACCGUGAAACUGCGAAUGGCUCAUUAAAUCAGUUAUCGUUUAUUUGAUAGUACCUUACUACUUGGAUAACCGUGGUAAUUCUAGAGCUAAUACAUGCUAAAAACCCCAACUUCGGGAGGGGUGUAUUUAUUAGAUAAAAAACCAAUGCCCUUCGGGGCUCCUUGGUGAUUCAUAAUAACUUCUCAGAUCGCAUGGCCUUGCGCCGGCGACGGUUCAUUCAAAUUUCUGCCCUAUCAACUUUCGAUGGUAAGGUAUUGGCUUACCAUGGUUUCAACGGGUAACGGGGAAUUAGGGUUCGAUUCCGGAGAGGGAGCCUGAGAAACGGCUACCACAUCCAAGGAAGGCAGCAGGCGCGCAAAUUACCCAAUCCCGACACGGGGAGGUAGUGACAAUAAAUACUGAUACAGGGCUCUUUAGGGUCUUGUAAUUGGAAUGAGUACAAUUUAAACCUCUUAACGAGGAACAAUUGGAGGGCAAGUCUGGUGCCAGCAGCCGCGGUAAUUCCAGCUCCAAUAGCGUAUAUUAAAGUUGUUGCAGUUAAAAAGCUCGUAGUUGAACCUUUGGCCUGGCUGGCGGGUCCGCCUCACCGCGUGCACUCGUCCGGCCGGGCCUUUUCUUCUGGAGAACCGCAUGCCCUUCACUGGGUGUGUUGGGGACCAGGACUUUUACUUUGAAAAAAUUAGAGUGUUCAAAGCAGGCCUUUGCUCGAAUACGUUAGCAUGGAAUAAUAGAAUAGGACGUGCGGUCCUAUUUUGUUGGUUUCUAGGACCGCCGUAAUGAUUAAUAGGGACAGUCGGGGGCAUCAGUAUUCAAUUGUCAGAGGUGAAAUUCUUGGAUUUAUUGAAGACUAACUACUGCGAAAGCAUUUGCCAAGGAUGUUUUCAUUAAUCAGUGAACGAAAGUUAGGGGAUCGAAGACGAUCAGA
Molecule: ribosomal RNA, 952 nt
Filed under: Periconia thailandica
Lineage: Eukaryota; Fungi; Ascomycota; Dothideomycetes; Pleosporales; Periconiaceae
Description: SSU rRNA
Rfam family: Eukaryotic small subunit ribosomal RNA
Source: RNAcentral